Molecule: ribosomal RNA, 472 nt
Filed under: uncultured bacterium
Lineage: Bacteria
Description: SSU rRNA
Rfam family: Bacterial small subunit ribosomal RNA
Source: RNAcentral
AGGAUGAACGCUGGCGGCGUGCUUAACACAUGCAAGUCGAACGAUGAUCCCCGCUUGCGGGGGGAUUAGUGGCGAACGGGUGAGUAACACGUGAGUAACCUGCCCUUGACUUUGGGAUAAGCCUGGGAAACUGGGUCUAAUACCGGAUAUUGACUUCCCUCCGCAUGGUGGGUGGUUGAAAGCUUUUGCGGUUUUGGAUGGACUCGCGGCCUAUCAGCUUGUUGGUGGGGUAAUGGCCUACCAAGACUCCGAUGGGUAGCUGGCUUGAGAGAGCGACCAGCCACACUGGAACUGAGACACGGUCCAGACUCCUACGGGAGGCAGCAGUGAGGAAUUUUCCGCAAUGGGGGAAACCCUGACGGAGCGACGCCGCGUGUGGGAAGAAGGCCUUCGGGUCGUAAACCACUGUCGAGGGGGACGAUAUUGACGGUACCCCUGGAGGAAGCCCGGCCAACUACGCGCCAGCAGCCGC